RNAcentral lists this unclassified non-coding RNA (236 nucleotides) under Hevea brasiliensis (rubber tree). The record is from RNAcentral. Lineage: Eukaryota; Viridiplantae; Streptophyta; Magnoliopsida; Malpighiales; Euphorbiaceae.
AGGGCUCGUAGUCCAUAGCCAGCUCUUAAUCUGUAACUUGAAGAACCGAAUAGAAUAGAGUGAAACCAAGAAUAUAUGAAAUCAAAUUGAACUCAAAACCAAACAGAAAACGAAAGGACCAAAGCAGCGGCGACUGCUACAGCGGCGGCGUGUGGAUUGCAAGAUUAAGGGUUAGGGUUUUACAAGUUCGCAGAUCAAUUGGGGGCAAAUGUGAGGUGGAAGAAGGGAGAGUAUGA